RNAcentral lists this microRNA (22 nucleotides) under Homo sapiens (human). RNAcentral describes it as "hsa-miR-6778-5p". Lineage: Eukaryota; Metazoa; Chordata; Mammalia; Primates; Hominidae. The record is from miRBase by way of RNAcentral.
AGUGGGAGGACAGGAGGCAGGU